RNAcentral lists this unclassified non-coding RNA (908 nucleotides) under Hevea brasiliensis (rubber tree). The record is from RNAcentral. Lineage: Eukaryota; Viridiplantae; Streptophyta; Magnoliopsida; Malpighiales; Euphorbiaceae.
GAGACGUUAAACUAGCUAAAUGAGCACAAGCUGACUACCCACCAUAAAUGUGUUGUAAUAAUUAUGACCACAUAGCUAUCUAAAGUCUAUGCGUGUUAGGUGUUCAGUAAUCACCAUUUCAAACGAGUCAGGAUAAUCAUGACAUUUUUGAAACCUAUUCUAGAUAUUAUAGGCCUCUUUUACACCCUCCAAUAUGUGGCGAUACCGCAUUGGAUAGAAGUUAGUAUAUAAACAUUAACUGAGGUAAGUACUGGCAUUCUUUGAACCCAUAUUCCCUAUAUUCAUUCUCUCUAUCUUCUUACACGUUCCCUUUUCCAGGUACUAACUUAAGCCUCGAAGUGCCAAGUGAAAGAGGCCCCUUGGCCCUCUGACCCUAUGUUGUUUUGCAAGUGAGUAGUCGGUGGAGGUCCGAGUAGUCGUAUGAAUACCCAGAGAAGUCAUAUUCCAAGCAAGAGUGCCCAUAUACUCCUUAACCAUACUUAUAGACUUAGAUGCAUCUCAUCCACGUGUCAUGCGUCCCAAAUAUCACCCAUAUCACUUGUUAUCAAGCUGUUGUAUGUGGGAUAGAGAAUUCUACAUUGUUUGAGCUUGCAAAACUAGAGAACUGGUCUUAGAAUGGUUGGAAUGACAAGUUCAUUCAGCCAUUGUAGUUUAAUAUAAAUAUUACAAACUCUAGUUGGUUGCUUGCUUCUAUAGAAAGAUAUUAUCUAUGAACUCAUGAAUUACAAUGGGCUAAAAGGUUGGUAGUUAUUUUGUUAUGUUUACCAUGUAGUUCUUCCAAAAGUUAAAAAAAGAAAUAGCAUCUGGAUUCUGGAUCUAAUUUGAUGCCUGUAUCCUAUUUGAGUUUUACAUUUUUGAAUCUUUUUCUUUGUUCUUGAUGAAUUCAGAUCAUCAACAGCUGAGGGCAC